This 279-nucleotide long non-coding RNA is filed under the name Chrysemys picta bellii (western painted turtle). RNAcentral describes it as "lncRNA (ENSCPBG00000020619.1)". The record is from RNAcentral. Lineage: Eukaryota; Metazoa; Chordata; Testudines; Emydidae.
UUCAUUCUAAUGAGAAAGUCGCUCCGAAUGGGCGAGGCCUCAUUCGCUCUGCCUCCGAGAGGCAGGGACCGGCCGAGGGCCCGAUGGGAACGCAAUGAAUGAAUGAAUCUCCAUAAAGAGCCCCGAGCGGGAGUUAGAGAGCGGAGGAGGCAGAGCGGGCAGCAAACCUGGGCUGGCGGGGAGCGCAGUUCAAAUAUUGGGCUUGGUGAUCCGUCCUCAAGGAUCCCUAAUGUUGAGUCCCCUGAGCAAAUGCACAUGAUGAUUAGGCAACAUUCAUGA